Molecule: unclassified non-coding RNA, 242 nt
Filed under: Hevea brasiliensis (rubber tree)
Lineage: Eukaryota; Viridiplantae; Streptophyta; Magnoliopsida; Malpighiales; Euphorbiaceae
Source: RNAcentral
CGGUUCACAGUCGAAAACUCCGUGUAUCUCGAUCCUGCAGCGCAGGGACGGCGCAUCGGCACGCGGCUGAUGCAGGACCUGAUUGCCGCGUGCGAAGAUCGCGGCGGCUACCGGCAGAUGAUCGCGGUGAUCGGGGAUUCCGCCAACGCCGCCUCGAUUGGCGUCCAUGCCCGCGCCGGAUUCGAAAUGAUCGGCACGCACCCCAGCGUCGGGUUCAAGUUCGGCCGCUGGCUCGACACGGU